GUGCAUGCUACUGACAAACUAUCGCGAGACACGUUGCUAUAACGACAGAUGUACACAGUUUCCACAAGCGGUCCGGUGUUGAUGACACUUCAGUGGAAAUUACAGCCUGUGAAGCUUACAGUCUGAUCAGAGAGCACCAUGAAUUUAAACAACUUUGUGGUACUUCCCAGCAAGCCCAAGUCAAUGAAGUUAAAUGUCAGGAAUCUCCGGGAACUGCGUAUGGAAACAGUGCAGCUGGAUCAACAUGCCAAGGAGAUGGAGAGCAGACUGGAGGAGCUCAGACAGCGUAUGAACCAGGAGAAAGAGGAGAGGGAGAAGAUGGGAGCUUCUCACUGGCGUUCAGCACAGCCAGGGAUUCAGAGCGUCAAGACGAACAAGGAGAACGCACCUCACAGACUCUCUCCAGGCAAGAUGAAGAUUAGAGUGCUGAAGGACGAGCAUGUGCCAGCUGCAGCUGUACAGAAGCAGGUAAUAGCGGAACCAGCCGCCAAGGUACAUGGCACUAACAGGAAGCUCAACCUGAGGGGAAAAGUCUGUGGACAGUGUGAAGUUCAGCUGGCCGGACUGAUGUGUGCGGAAUGCGGAGAGGAUUAUUGUGUGGGCUGCUUCGUCAGAUUCCACCAGAAGGGGGCACUGAAGCGCCAUCGUAUGGUUCCCAUACAGGCAGAGCUCCAGACCCCUGUCAGCACUCGGGAUGUGUUGGGCCACCUCCAGCAGCAGGUAAGCGGCGAGGAGAAUCAACAUACACGAGGUGCAUCCCACAAAGCCGCUGAUGAAAGUGAAGCCACAGAGAAAAGAUCAGCUCCUAGGAGCCUUCAGCCCAUGUCUGAUAACCAAAUGCACCACACACAGGUGUUGUUCGUGAAUGACGGUGUUGACGUGGAGGAUGAGGAGGCAGCUGAGGAAGAGGACAGCUCUCUGCUGAGAGGAGGCUUUGAUGAAGAGGAGUCAGCCAGGUCCUUCCAGGAGGCUCUAAAAGAGUGGAGAGAGAGAGGACAGAGACCAGUGUCUGUGAUGGAAACACAAACAGAGAAAGGAUCCCAGCAGUUAAUUCAUGUGGAGUUCAAGGAGGACACUUUGAGCUACAUGGAGAAACUCCUCUUGAAAAAACACCGCAGAGGACAAAUUGAAGAAUUUCAGCCCUGGUCUGUCGUCCCACGCCGGCUGGAGCCACCCACACCUCCACCUGCAGAGAUAGAUGAACUGAGCCGAAAACUGACAGCAGAGCGGAUGGAGUUGCAUAAAUACUUUACUUCUCUCUUCAUGAUUGCUCCCACUGAGGAUGCUGGGAAAGCGGACAGCCCUGCAGAAUCCUGUUUAAGCGUUGUAGAGUUAGAUGAGAUGGUUGAAGAUGCUACAAUGUACAGAUCCUUUGGAGUCAAGCAGGGAAAUGAGAGCAAAAUGUUUGCAGCUGUUGGAAAUGGAGGAGAUUUUGGAUAUUCAGUUUUGCCUUCCACACCAUGCUUCUCUGAGAUGACCAAAGGAUUUGUCGGUGAAUGUAAUUCUGACGUAAAGAUCAACUCUUCUCCUGAGAUGUGGCCGCUGUCUCAAGAGGCUGAACAAUCUUCGUCAUCAUUGCCAAGAUCAGAAAACUUUUUUCCACUUCAGACGAGGCUUCAGAGAUCACAGCACCUGUCGACUACCUCAGACUCAUUUCUGUCAAAUUCACGAACAGGAGGCCAGAAAGUGGAACUCUGUGACACUCCAAAACCAAUCCCACGGACAAGAUCUUCUGCAGCACAGCAGGACAAAUCCUCAGAGCUUCUGCCAACAUCAUCUCCUUCACUCCCAAAAACCAAAUUAAAUCAAACUCUCGCAGGUUUUGAGGACCAUAUUUCCACUGUCAGCCUCUCUCCUGGUGGAAUACCAUCUGUUAGGUCUUCUCAAUGUCAUUCUCCUGCUUUUCUCAUCUCUAAACAAAGUCCAAAACCUCCAGAUUCUCCAUCCCCAAGGUCUAGAUCAGUUUCUUCUCCAGUAAACCCAGUCCAAUCCAGACCUGCUCAUUCAACACCUGUUUCUGAACCGAAAUUAGCUCGACUGUCUCCAGAACGUGCCAUCACUUCCCCAAGCCCUGCAGUUCCUUCAUUAAAGCUGUCAUUUAGAGAAUCAACACAGUCUGGAUUAGUCUCGGAUAGAAGUAUACCUACUACGCCUAUUUAUGACUCCCUCAGGUCGUCAGUGAGGGUCAAAUCUUCUCAUACUGAAGGUCAUCGUUCACCUCUGGCCUCCAAAUGGUUAAAAGGCUCACGGAAGUCACCCAAAACCACAAUGCUCUCCUUACAGCUGAGCAUAUCAGAUUCAGAAGAGGAAAUGACAGGUGAAGAUGCUUGCCUGGUGCCCAGUGAGGAAGACUCAUCUGAUGAAGAACUAAGACGAAUCACAGAUGCAGAAGAACAAAAGAAUGGCUUUUCCUCUCUGUACCUCACCACGACCCCUCCGGCUGACCCUCAUUUCACCUUCACAAACCUCUCAAAGUCUGAAGACGACAACACAGAACCAGACCUUUUUACAGGAUUUUCUCAGGCUGUUCAUUCAGUAGCCCAGAGACAGGACAUCCAGCCGGGGCAGUACCAAGACCUAGAGGGGAUCCUGACUUUGGGACUGGACCCUGGAGCCCUGCAGCCCAGCCCAGCUCCAGCGCAAACCUCUAGAGAAGAGCAGAACCACACAGGGAGUUCACUAGUUAUAGGGCAGGAGUCAUGGAGAUCCAGCAGCAGUCUUCAGCAUCACGCAGAGGAAGAGCUGGUCGCUGCGCUGAUGAACGCUCGGCCCGUCAGUAGCACCCCUCGUCCCCUCGCUCCAGGCCGUAGCAGAGUGUCAUCACACAGGCUGUGUUUCUCAGGCACCAUAAGCAGAUCUCUCAUACCCAUCUCUUCUCGGCCCCUGAGUGCCGGGACUCGUCGACCGUUGUCUCGUGCCGCUCAGGAGAUCAUGGAGGUCCAGACCGUGGAGCAGCUCGAUCUCCAGGACUCUGAUGAGGAUGAGGAGGAUUGCCUGGCUCUGGCCUGCCUUGAGGAAGAGUUCAGACAUAUGAGCAGUACACCAUUAGAUGAGGGAGUAUUGACAGGGUCACACAGAUGAAGAGGAGGAGAUCUUCAUCAGGAAUGCUCUUGCUAUGGGGGCGUCUGAUGACCUGAGACUGAUUACAGCACUAUCACUAUCCUCCUGAAAUCCAGCCAAUCAAAGUCAAAACCCUGCAGUCCCCCCAUGCUACCAUACACCUUAUAUUUCAUUACAGUUUUGGUUGUAAAUUUGCGAAAAUGUUCAAUUCUUUUUCAUAGAAACUGUUUUGAGAGAUUCACAGGCUGGAUUCCUCGUCCCUCACCGCUGCGCUCUGGAGCUGGACGCUGGGAAAGUGUUGCUUUGGUCACUGGUAAAGUAUCCGCUAAAUGACGAGAAUCCAAUUGCCGUUUUAACUUUUCUAAUUAGCUGCUAAUGGCUUGACAGGGUUCGUGAGGGUUCUGGAGGAAGAGAAGAUGAAAGCGUUGAAGACUGCAUGAAGCAGCAGUGUGCAAAUGGCAUGGAAAGCAGAGGGAUUUCCCCUACAGAGAGAGAGAAUCCGCCACUGGUCACUGAGUGCAGACAGGAAACCAUUAGCGCUGACAUAAGUGCUCCCGCCGGACACACAGAGACAGAGACAUCAGGCGAGCUGAACAGAACGGCUGGACGGAAAUGGCUGGAGCAGCAGCAGCGUGUCUAGAAUAAAAACUAGGCAUUUGUCAACUGAAAUGUGCAUGUAUUGCAUACUGAGCUGAUCUAUCAUUCCGGUGACGGGUCUCCAGUUGGACCCACACAGAUUUUUCCACCUUGUGCAUAAUCCAGCCGCUGGAGAACAGCAGCAGGAUUUUCAUGUGUAGAAACAGCCACCAGCACCAUAAUCAAGAUCUACUGCUGCUGCACCUUCUUGACUCGACCAGUCUGGUCUUCUGCAUCAAGCAGAGCCACAUGAAUGGAUGAUUGGGUGAAUUCUGCGAGCUAAUUUGAUGCGACAUGCUUGAAACAUCGACUGGGAAGUGGCCCAUGUCCUUGAUGCUUCUGAGAAUCGAGCUGGAAAACCGAACUGCAGCCCAUGAUCUCCAGCGCAUGAAGGAUCCAGCAUCCUUUCCAGCCUCAUUAAUGGCGGAGCAUCUGCAGUCCAGUCGCCGACGGCCCGUGGGACUCCAGUGGACGCGCGGAAGAAUAAAGGUUUUCAUUUCCCCACAGGAGGAGAGACUGAAAGCAGCUGUAUUUGUCUCCACCACUGACCAGAAUAUUCAUUCAGCUGACAAUGAUGCAGCUACAGUAUGUGUGCUGUAUUUGAGGAAGUCCAUGUCUUUAUUGUCAUGUGUAAUGCAAGAAGCCAAAGGAGCAGAAAUGAAGGGAACACAGAACAUGGUGUUAAGACGCGGCAGGAUGUCAUGCUAACAGCUCCUCUGUCUGCGGGUCUGAUAUGUUCAUCAUAAGCUAGAACUCCAUUACAUGUCCUGAGCUAUGAACAUGCGACCUCUGAGCAACGGGUCCACGAGCCAGAAGUGCUCUACACCCCACGUACCCAUUGGACACAUGCGGCGGAGGCCCCUGGGACUUGAGAGGAGGUUUCUGUGCCACCGGACAACAUGAUGAACACAUGUCCUCCGAGCCCCAGAGGGAAGCAGAAGGAAGCCAUAGACUGCCGUUGGAAUGACAGCAAAAAAUGGAACCAUGGAAACGACUCUCCCAUGGCAUCUGACAGACUCUUCCCGCAUGCAUCUGUUGUGAAUGUUAUAUGGCUCAUACACCUGAGAAGAAGUCGACUGUGCAUGCAAGCAAAGUGUUGAUUGGAUUCUGCCAGCUCAUCCUUGCUGCGCAUAU
This is an RNA transcript of Onychostoma macrolepis, 4830 nucleotides long. It is a transcript of the gene named zinc finger, B-box domain containing, with no coding region annotated. NCBI's taxonomy places the organism in Eukaryota, Metazoa, Chordata, Actinopteri, Cypriniformes, Cyprinidae. The transcript is spliced from 29 exons. The record is from RefSeq and is a predicted model, not a curated record.